GAUGAACGCUAGCUACAGGCUUAACACAUGCAAGUCGAGGGACCGGCGCACGCGUGAGUAACACGUAUCCAACCUUCACUUUACUCGGGGAUAGCCUUUCGAAAGAAAGAUUAAUACCCGAUGUAAAGGAUGGUGAUGCGUUCCAUUAGGUUGUUGGUGAGGUAACGGCUAACCAAGCAUUCGAUGGAGAGGGGUUAUGAGAGGAAGCGCCACUGCAAUGGAACUGCGACCCGGUCCCCACCCCUACGGGAGGCUGCAGUGACGAAGAUUGGUGACGGGGCGCUAGCCUGACCCAGCCAAGUAGCUUGAAGGAGUAUGGCUUCUGGGUCGUAAACUUUUUGUAUAUAAGAAUAGGUAUUAAAUGAAUAAGGAUCGGCUAACUCCGUGCCAGCCGCCGCGGUAAUAC
This 406-nucleotide ribosomal RNA is filed under the name uncultured bacterium. RNAcentral's name for it is "partial 16S ribosomal RNA". It matches the Rfam family "Bacterial small subunit ribosomal RNA", at positions 28 to 526 of the family's 1533-position model. The record is from RNAcentral.